This 1530-nucleotide long non-coding RNA is filed under the name Sus scrofa (pig). RNAcentral's name for it is "lncRNA (ENSSSCG00050060188.1)". The record is from RNAcentral. Lineage: Eukaryota; Metazoa; Chordata; Mammalia; Artiodactyla; Suidae.
CUUGAACCUUCCCGCUGCUGUCACCCAGGCAGUAGCCUCUUUGGCGUCUGGUGGCUGGAGGCCUCCCGUGGUCUGGAGGGACCACUUAAGCCCACCUACUCCCGCCUCCACCUGCAGGGUCCUCCCCUCCCCCACCACUCACUGCCCCGCGCAGAGCGUAGAGAGCCACACUGCGCAUGCUCCUCAGGGGAGGGCUGCCUGCAGCGCGACGCGGGCGGGCGGGUGGUGGGGAUUCCAUUCAAGGGACACCUCGGUAGCAGCCACCUGGCCACGACAGCGUCCGCGUCCCAGACUCUGCCCGACUCCGGGCUCGUCCGAACUCGGCAUCCCUCCCUAGGGACGCUGCACCACGUACUCAGAGAAAAUUUCAUCCACACAUUUGCCCCCUUGGACUAACUCGAAGAGUUCUACAACCUGUCAGCUGAGAACUGAAGAGCAGCCCUGAGGCGUGAACCCAGAAAUUCCACAGACACUCCAGGUUGAUCACGUCGAGUCAGGUGUUGGGACCCAGAUCCGACAGUGACUUUUCACUAAGAGAAAUUUCCUAAGAGCCGGGGAGCUGGCCGAGAUCCUCUGUCGUGGGUUUAGAUCUCGUGGAACUGAGGCCAGCAGAUCUCUUGGAAAGCAAAGUAUUGGACAACGAUGACUUGGCUUCAGGAAACAGUGUCACUGACUCUGACUUGUCAAAGGUGGAACCCGUUUUGAAGCAUUUAAAGGAAUGAACGUCAGACAGUAUGUCACCGAGACGGCUGCUGCCAAAGCAGUUUCUGUUUAGCCACCUCCCCCCUCCCCCUCACUGACCAUGGCAUGACCAUGUCUCAGAGACAAGGCAGGCAAGCGGGCCUGGGGCUCCAGACAAGGUGCUUCUCACGUACCAUGAUGUGAUGGAAUUCUCCAGAAGAGAACUCUCUGUUCUUCAUUGUCAAAUGCCUGCGGGCUCUGGCAAUUCAGCUGGGAAGUUACUGCAGGGAAGACAAAUGACACUGUCCAUGGCCCCAAGCCAGUGGGGGCACCAGCCCCUCAGCCCCGACCUCGAGGGCAGAGGAGGCCCCAGGUUUGCACAGUGACAACCUCAUACGUGGGAUUUCCAGCCAUCCGAGGUGUGGCAGGGAGACCAGGCCAUUCCCCAAGUGGGGCUCCCAGGGAGGAGACGGCAGCGGCCAAGACGACUUCGGAGGACACACUAAACAGGCCUGACCUUCCCGGGGGGAACAUCGUCUUAUUCCUGUAGCAAUUGUCUUGCCAUCCUACUUGGCCUGGGAGAGAGUCUCAGCUUUGUGCUAAUCCAUCUUUAACACCUUUGCCAUCUACGAAGCUCCCUUUUUGACAGAAAGCAGGCUGCAGGCUUCGAUCAGCCCGCAGCCUACAGCAUCCAGCUAGAAUCUUGUUUGGCAAGUGAGUCAUGGCUUUCCAUUGUCUUCCACUUAGCUAUUUUUAAAUUUUUUUAAGUUUAAAAGGGAGUCCAUCAGAUAAGGGAAAAACUAACAAAAUUCCAAUAAAACACAGAAUUUAGUUAAUAAUGAUGUAUCA